AGUGAACGCUGGCGGUAGGCCUAACACAUGCAAGUCGAACGGCAGCACAGUAAUAGCUUGCUCUUACGGGUGGCGAGUGGCGGACGGGUGAGGAAUACAUCGGAAUCUACUUUUUCGUGGGGGUUAACGAAGGGAAACUUACGCUAAUACCGCAUACGACCUACGGGUGAAAGCAGGGGAUCUUCGGAUCUUGCGCGAUUGAAUGGGCUGUUGUCGGAUUAGCGAGUUGGCGGGGUACAGGCCCACCAAGGGGACGAUCGGUAGCUGGUCUGGGGGGCUGAUCAGCGACACUGGGACUGGGAGACGGUACUGACUCCGACGGGAGGCAGCAGCGGGGAAGAGUGGACAAUGGGGGCAAGCCUGAUCCAUCCAUACCGGGUUGGUGAAGAAGGCCUUCGGGUGGUAUAACCCUUUUGUUGGGAAAGAAACGCAGCAGGUUAAUACCCCGCUGUUCUGACGGUACCCAAAGAAUAAGCACCGGCUAACUUCGUG
Molecule: ribosomal RNA, 492 nt
Filed under: uncultured bacterium
Lineage: Bacteria
Description: partial 16S ribosomal RNA
Rfam family: Bacterial small subunit ribosomal RNA
Source: RNAcentral